RNAcentral lists this long non-coding RNA (970 nucleotides) under Junco hyemalis (dark-eyed junco). RNAcentral describes it as "lncRNA (ENSJHYG00000005686.1)". Lineage: Eukaryota; Metazoa; Chordata; Aves; Passeriformes; Passerellidae. The record is from RNAcentral.
CACGCAGCCACCACGGGGCGGGGCGGCUCUGCCAGCGUCGCGCUGGGCCGGGCGGGCUGGGCCGCGCCGCAGCGCCGGCGGCUGAUUCGGAGGCGGCGGCGGGGGAUGGACGAGGGUACCUGCGGCGGCCAUCGGCGACGGGCGGCCCAGCGGCUGGUGAUUGCAGGGUGCCAUAAGCGUGGUGUUUCCAGAGGGAUGUACCUAGACAGGAGAUGAAAGACAGGCUCUGUAAUGCUGCAUUCAUCUCGUUUAAAUUGCUGUCCAUGUUGGGAGGUGUUACAGCGAACAGAUAGCACGCUUGCAUCUGUUAUUCCUGUUACUGUUUUUCUCUUCAUUUGAUUCCAAGACCGUUUAGUUUUAUUUAUCUUUAUCUGGGGUUUGUUUUGCUAAGGUCUCAGUAACACAUUGUGCUACUGUGUAAAAUCGAAUGCUCCGUAAUUCACUGGCAACACAGCGAGGCUCUUAACUGCACAGGCUUUCAGUGGUGCUGCUAAUAACUUGCCGAGGGUGGUGAUGUGAGUUGAUUUCCAGCCUGUUCCUGGUCUCUAAUUGCCAUACAGACCAUCUUUACACUGCAUUUGUUACCAGUUCUAAAGUCAGUUUAUAUAUGUUUGGGGAAAGGGUGGGUUAAGGGGGACAGAGAUAUCUUUGCUUUGCUUCUUCUGUUUUGAUCAUCUGCAAGGCCAUAAAAAAAUUAAAAUUACUUUGGCGGUGGGGGGGAUUUGGAAUGAAAUGCUGUCGUGACAUGAGGUUGCCUUGUGGGCAAAGAUUUUCACAUGCUCAGCACAGCUCUACAAAAAUACCCCGACUCCUGUUACACAGGGAAGAACUGAGCUGAUACUUCCUUUUUCUCUGUUAUGGUAACUUUCGUAUUUCUGUAACAUGUAAGGAAGACUGUUACAUCAGCAAUAUACUUUUUAAAAGUAAUUUUAAAAAUAAACCUUGAAAAUUUAAGUCUCUUUUCUACUCU